ACGCAUCUAUCUGCUAGACCUGGAGCUGUUACUGUCCGCUGCUAAGGUUUCCACAGCAGAUGCAAGAAAAAUGGGUCCCCACGCUGUCUGUCUGACCGUGGCAGCCAAGAACGAAUGGGGAAUACAGGA
Eptesicus fuscus (big brown bat) is the source of this 129-nucleotide small nucleolar RNA. RefSeq annotates it as small nucleolar RNA SNORA31. The record is from RefSeq and is a predicted model, not a curated record. The transcript has a single exon. Lineage: Eukaryota; Metazoa; Chordata; Mammalia; Chiroptera; Vespertilionidae.